Hylaeus anthracinus is the source of this 5411-nucleotide long non-coding RNA. RefSeq lists it as uncharacterized. Lineage: Eukaryota; Metazoa; Arthropoda; Insecta; Hymenoptera; Colletidae. The transcript is spliced from 3 exons. The record is from RefSeq and is a predicted model, not a curated record.
AUUACUUCUAUCGUACUUUUUAUUCUAUUUACAUACGUAUUUGAGUAGUCUGUAGAAAUUUUUUCAACAAGAAAUAUUCAAAUUGAGUCCCCUGCACAUUUGUAGAGCACCUCACAAUUAAAACCUCCUAUCGGCGGGAAAGAUGCAGGUCGUAAUUUUGGUUUGACACAAAAAAGAAAUUUUCAUUUUCAUACAUUUUUCUUCUAUGUGAACUAAGAAAAUUCAUACAACAAAAAUUUUCUACAAUUUUUUUAUCAAGUUAAAGUGAUUUUUUUCACCCAAAGAACUCGUCCUUUUUUUCAAACUUGCGGUAAUUUCACAUUUUACCAUUUUUCCGGGGUUUUCUUAGUUCACAUAGAAGAGAAAUGUAUGAAAAUCAAAAUUUCUUUUGGUUUUUUUGUGUCAAACCAAAAUUACGACCUGCAUCUUUCCCGCCGAUAGGAGGUUUUAAUUAUGAGGUGCUCUACAAAUGUGCAGGAGACUCAAUUUGAAUAUUUCUUGUUGAACAAAUUUCUACAGACUACUCAAAUACGUAUGAAAAUAGUAUAAAAAGUUCGAAAGAAGUAAUUAUUUAUUUCCAUCCUAAAAAAAUUCACGAGAAACCGCUUUUUUUAGACCUUCUAAUUCAGGAUACAUCCUUAAGUAUGUUCAAAAUUUAUGUGACUUGGUUGCUUUAUUACUUGGUCGUAGAAAUAGAUACAUUCUUUAGUAAUAGGUAAUCUUUGUUACAUUUACAGCCAACUAUACGAAAAACCGCUUUUUUUAGACCACCUAAUUCAGGAUACUCCCUCAAAUGAUAAGAGGAGUGAUGUAAAGGGUGUUCGGAGACAGUGGCGCCAAGUUAAGUCUUUUUUUUUUAAAUCGUCGCAAAAUAUUUCUAAUAAACAGUUCCAGUACUUUUCUGUAAAAGUAUUUAGUAAUAUUAUCAUUAUUACUAUUAUUGAACUGGAAUUUGGUAACAGAUGAAACAAAAUUGCUUAAGUAAAAAUUGUACAGUAUAAAAACGUCCACGAGACUGCGAACACAAGUUUCAUAUAGCGUGUGAUGGAUACAUUUUUGUUGGGAGAAAUGUUAUUAAAAAUAAUUAUUUUUUUUUUUUUUUUUAAUUUCUUACUAUGGUGAAUUUUGUAUUUAAGCUAUUUUAGAUAUCUCCUACGGUUUCAGAGGUAUUUCCAAAAAUAAAACUAACCGAAAUUAUUUUCGAGACAAAAUGGAAAAGGUGAUCAAAUUCCCGCAAACUUUAUUUCUGCAAAAAUUCAAAUCUCAUAUUCGAUUAGAAAUGUCUCACAGCUCAGUUUCUAGGAUCACCCUGUACAUCGAUGGCGAUUUUAAAAAGACCUACCCCGAUUUAUUUAUAGGAAACCGCUAUUACGGCCCAGGGUCACGAACAAACUCGAGUACAGUUAGUUAAACGCAAUUGUCCGUACGCACUGAAUAUUAUCCGCUAAACUGUUCCGACGCAUUCAUCGAUACAAGAAUGGAAAGCAUUGUAUUACGUUAAUAAUGUUUUCUUCGCACACUCGACGCGUAACGACUUCCUUUUACAUAGCAAGAACAACGUCUCAGACAUCUACCCUCGUAAGAGGAAACUUAACGAGUUUCUUGUAGAUAAACCGCGUAUAACUUUCCGCGGGAGUUGAACGAGUUUCUUAUCUGGCUUGGUCUAUUAGCACGACCAGACGGUCGUAAUUUAUCAAACGGUUCCGACGCCGGGCAAUUUUUUCGCACGCCAUACCUCGGCCAUUGUUCGGCGUUUCGGAACACCGGAAAUUCACGUUCGAUUUAAAGGAUCUGGGUCAGUGGUCGCUGAACGUUUCGAAAGGGGUUGAACGAUGGACAAAUUACGCGUGUUAGGUUGUCCUAAAGUUUCUUUCGGGAUUUGUACUCAGUUGUUUUGUUUGGCAGUGUUUACAGUGGGUGUAGAAUGUAUUUGUACACCGAUAAAUUUCCCAAAAAACUUUUGUGUGAAAUUGUAGUUUCUUAACUUUUUUUUUUUAUAAUCCAUGUUGUUUUACAUAUUCUUGGAAAUCUCUAAGAUAGAUAUAGUCCAAACAACAUUUACUAGUUCAUGUAAUUUGUGAAAUUAACAAAAAAAUUGCGAAAAGUAGGUAAAAGUAUAGAAGCAAUAAGUAUUUGUACGAUUCUUAUGACGAACCAUUUACAGUAGAGUUUGUAACGUAAAUACAUUAGUUUAUUGCUCCGUGCGAAUUAGAAAACAUCAAAUUUCCAGGAAAGUACUUUUAAACAGUUGUGCGAAUAUUUAUUGCUUCAACAUUUCCAUCGAUUAAUUGUUUUUUUUUUUUUUUUUUUUUUUGUCAAUUUCGCAACUUACAUAAAUGGCUAUUUUUUGUUGUAAUCUAUCUAUUCUAGAGAUUUCCGAGAAUAUGUAGAAUGUCAUUGUUUAUAAAAAAUAAGUUGAUAAAUUACAAUUUCACACAGUUUUUUUGGAAAUUGAUCGGUGUACGAAUACUUUCUACACCCACUGUAUAUAAAUAGAAAACCUUAUCUCUUAGUACGUUAACUGCCAGACUAAUACUUGUGAAAAAUAUUAGUCUAACACGUCGUUUCUAUGCAACUGAAACUUACUUUUGUUCAAUUUAAACUUGUAUUUAUUUUCGCGACUUCGUUAAAUUCGCGAAUUUUACAUAGAUUUAUUUUCUUUAACUCAUCGUCUUCAGAAUUAUAUUAUUUAAUCCUGUCAGCGAUAAAUAAAUGACACGGCGACCAAUGUGUUAAUAAUUGAUGUUAUAACGGUAUAGAGCAAAACAGUGUUUACCAAAAUUUACCAUUCAAUUUAUAUCUAAUUCUUAACAUUUAUCAAUAGUACUAUAAUCAAUUUGGUCAAAAAUCCAAAUAUAAUUGAAAAUAAGUUAACGGAGGAUUCAAUAGGAUUCUGCGAAUCUUGGCAAUGAAUGGAGUGAAACUCGUGCCGCAAAUGAACAAUUUCGCGAUCUAGGAUGCACCUAAUGCGUCUAACGGUCUAAGUGACCGUUCGUCGUAAUAAUAAAAUAGGCCAGCGCAGCUUUCAGAAAUGAAAUCAUCCAGAAAAACAACAAUUUGGAGGGAGAAAAUAAAUUGCAUGACUCUGGCGUAACUAGGAAGUAACUAGAUCAUAGAAAUUCUGUUACAUCUACUCGACAAUUUAAACGUGUUUUUCUAGAAAUUAUGUUUAUUGAACCAGACGGUUGACACUAUUUUGCAGUAACGGACGAAUUCACUUGAAACGUGGAACACGUGAACUGGAUAUCCUACGUUUGGUUAAACCACUACAAUAAUUUAUUUGCGUAAUUUUUUCUUGUUUCUUCUUUAUAGCGUUCUAUAACUUUAAAUUUUCUCACUUGAAAUUUUGUAAUAUGCAAGCAAAAAAGGUAAAUAAUUCCCAAUUUAAUUAUGUUCAAACUUCAUAACGCUGUCAUUUUACUAAUUUUGUGUAUUUUUCUCUUAUUUUGUUUCUAAUUAUAGCCACAUCCAUGUGGAUUAAUAAUUGCUUCAGUCCACUAGAAUUAUUACUAUUUCUUGUAAGUAUUGCGUAGACGACCUAUUUCAUUAAAACUAUUACAUAUUUUUGUAUGAAAAAGUUUAUAUAACUUGGCAAGAUAUGUAAAAACUGCGAUAGGAAAUUCCAUACUACUAUCUUGAACAGUUUUCAUGUUAUAUAAUUUCAGGUAUACUCAACUAUUGUAAUGUUUCAACUACAAUAUCUUCUAAACCUCGUAGAAAAUAGUUUAGAGUUUGGAAAAAUUCAAUUCCAAUAAUAAAUCAUUAAUAGAAAAACACUCUAUAUCUCAUCAUUUAUAAUAUUUAUUCAAUCAGACAGAUAUUCAGAUAAACUUGCAUCCAAUCGAUCUGAAAUUUCAUUUCAUUUUGUAAUUUAAACUUGCAAUUUUGAUCGAACAAAUUACAGAUCAAAAUUUAUUUGUCAGAAUAUUUCGUCAUCUUUCAUGUGUUACUCGAAAUUUGUAUCUAAAUAAGAAUUUUGCUCAUGGUAAAUUGGGAUAAAAAAUAGCUAUUAUACAGCACACCCCAAACAAUAUCUAGAAAUGUCUAACAAAAGAAACGAAUUGCCUGAAAUGUUGUUACUACAUUGUGUUUAGUGGAAUCGCCCAGAAAUAAUUUAUUAUGGAUUGCUUCCCUCCAAAGAAAGAAAAUGAAAGGUUGAGGUAAAAUAGCUAGCACGAGAACGUUCGGCCAAGCGUGACGUGAAUGGCACAGAAAAAAUUAUACGACUACGACUGGGAAAUUUUACAACCUCCACGUUAUUCACCGGACAUCGCACCGACGGAUUACCAUUUGUUUAGGUCCCUACAGCAUUCUUCGGCAAAGAAAUGUUUCCAGGAUGCGGACACCCUCCUGAGGCACGUUGAGGAAUUUUUUAACAAAACAAAGGAAACAUUCUAUAAAAGCGACGUAAAGAAAUUACUUCGAUAUGAAAAGAUAUGGUGAUUAUGAAUAUUGAUUAAUUAUGAAUAUUUAUGAAAAAUGAAUGGUUUCAUGUCUGUCCUUCAAAAAUAGCAUCAACUUCUUUUUAGCACUAGACAUGGCUAAAAUUCUUAUGCAGAUACAAAUUUCGAGUAACAAAUAAAAUAAUGGUUACAAAAACAGCAUGUACGAUUACUUUAAUAAUUCCCGUAUAUUACAAAAUUAUUGAGACAAUAGAUUGACUUCAUUAUAUUGCAUUCCUAUAAGUUGUAUUAUACGUAUUGUAUAUAUAAGUUGUAUAUUAUAUACUAUAUACAAUACUUUCCCUUAAUAACCGAGUUUUGCUCCAAAACAGGUUCCCAUCAAAAUGAUGCAAAAUAAAGUGAUAAAAACGUUGCACGCUCGAGUGCGAGAAUAAACCAGUUUUCUAAAGGGAGGCAGAAAGGAACACACCUAACGCCUUCUUUUAUUAUUUUAAACAUAGAAGUUUAAUAUGUGUGGGAAUAUACUCUUUUGCCAUCUAUCUUAUUUAACAAAUAACUCCCCUUCCUACAUUUCAAUGGAAGGAUACUAUAUAAUGGUAUUUAAAUAAUCACGAUUUUUUAGUUUGUAUCGCGUUACUUGCAAUAUAUAAUGUAGCGAAUGUAACUUAUUUAUCAGUGGAAGAGUUCCUCUAGCAUUUAAUUAGAAGCUUUCUUUGAAUAACUACGUAUACUCAACGAGUAAGAGAUUAAAUCAGUUAAAAUUAAUAACAAAUAGAAUGUAUUUUGAAUGUAAACUUAAAAGAAAUUGCAAUGAACAUAAAGGAAGUGUUGCGUCUAUAAAUCUUGGAUACGGUAAUUUUUCUAUUGUUUUUUAAAGAGGCACUUUCUAAAAAAGUUUACAAGCCAUUGAAAUAAACGAGUACAGCGUACAAUUUUAGAAACUAAAUUAGAGCCAGAUUUAAGCUUAGAAUAAAUCUGUAUACGUAUCUAAAGAAAAGUGUUAUUUGU